CCGUAAAGACAAAAACGAGUGUUUUAAUUAGACCCGCUACCUACGGUUACCGCCCCACGCAGUUUUAGUGCGCCGCGAAUACCGAGCCCUAUACGCACUUGUACAAUAUUAUUAUUAUUUUUAUUAUUAUUAUUGCGUACAUAUUGUCGUAACAAAAGAGAGACCGCAGCGGCGGCGGCGGCCCGGACGAGUACCAAUUAACCGACGAAAACGACGAAAUUAAUAAACAUAUUAAUUUCACGUGUCAACCGGCAGUUUUUUCGGUGCCGUGUUGUUUUUCCUUAUUAAAACGGCG
Non-coding RNA from Cinara cedri, 295 nucleotides. NCBI's taxonomy places the organism in Eukaryota, Metazoa, Arthropoda, Insecta, Hemiptera, Aphididae. The record is from the annotation of a GenBank genome assembly.